Molecule: ribosomal RNA, 1820 nt
Filed under: Escherichia coli
Lineage: Bacteria; Pseudomonadati; Pseudomonadota; Gammaproteobacteria; Enterobacterales; Enterobacteriaceae
Description: partial 23S ribosomal RNA
Rfam family: Bacterial large subunit ribosomal RNA
Source: RNAcentral
GGGUUGUGAGGUUAAGCGACUAAGCGUACACGGUGGAUGCCCUGGCAGUCAGAGGCGAUGAAGGACGUGCUAAUCUGCGAUAAGCGUCGGUAAGGUGAUAUGAACCGUUAUAACCGGCGAUUUCCGAAUGGGGAAACCCAGUGUGAUUCGUCACACUAUCAUUAACUGAAUCCAUAGGUUAAUGAGGCGAACCGGGGGAACUGAAACAUCUAAGUACCCCGAGGAAAAGAAAUCAACCGAGAUUCCCCCAGUAGCGGCGAGCGAACGGGGAGCAGCCCAGAGCCUGAAUCAGUGUGUGUGUUAGUGGAAGCGUCUGGAAAGGCGCGCGAUACAGGGUGACAGCCCCGUACACAAAAAUGCACAUGCUGUGAGCUCGAUGAGUAGGGCGGGACACGUGGUAUCCUGUCUGAAUAUGGGGGGACCAUCCUCCAAGGCUAAAUACUCCUGACUGACCGAUAGUGAACCAGUACCGUGAGGGAAAGGCGAAAAGAACCCCGGCGAGGGGAGUGAAAAAGAACCUGAAACCGUGUACGUACAAGCAGUGGGAGCCUCUUUAUGGGGUGACUGCGUACCUUUUGUAUAAUGGGUCAGCGACUUAUAUUCUGUAGCAAGGUUAACCGAAUAGGGGAGCCGAAGGGAAACCGAGUCUUAACUGGGCGUUAAGUUGCAGGGUAUAGACCCGAAACCCGGUGAUCUAGCCAUGGGCAGGUUGAAGGUUGGGUAACACUAACUGGAGGACCGAACCGACUAAUGUUGAAAAAUUAGCGGAUGACUUGUGGCUGGGGGUGAAAGGCCAAUCAAACCGGGAGAUAGCUGGUUCUCCCCGAAAGCUAUUUAGGUAGCGCCUCGUGAAUUCAUCUCCGGGGGUAGAGCACUGUUUCGGCAAGGGGGUCAUCCCGACUUACCAACCCGAUGCAAACUGCGAAUACCGGAGAAUGUUAUCACGGGAGACACACGGCGGGUGCUAACGUCCGUCGUGAAGAGGGAAACAACCCAGACCGCCAGCUAAGGUCCCAAAGUCAUGGUUAAGUGGGAAACGAUGUGGGAAGGCCCAGACAGCCAGGAUGUUGGCUUAGAAGCAGCCAUCAUUUAAAGAAAGCGUAAUAGCUCACUGGUCGAGUCGGCCUGCGCGGAAGAUGUAACGGGGCUAAACCAUGCACCGAAGCUGCGGCAGCGACACUUAUGUGUUGUUGGGUAGGGGAGCGUUCUGUAAGCCUGCGAAGGUGUACUGUGAGGUAUGCUGGAGGUAUCAGAAGUGCGAAUGCUGACAUAAGUAACGAUAAAGCGGGUGAAAAGCCCGCUCGCCGGAAGACCAAGGGUUCCUGUCCAACGUUAAUCGGGGCAGGGUGAGUCGACCCCUAAGGCGAGGCCGAAAGGCGUAGUCGAUGGGAAACAGGUUAAUAUUCCUGUACUUGGUGUUACUGCGAAGGGGGGACGGAGAAGGCUAUGUUGGCCGGGCGACGGUUGUCCCGGUUUAAGCGUGUAGGCUGGUUUUCCAGGCAAAUCCGGAAAAUCAAGGCUGAGGCGUGAUGACGAGGCACUACGGUGCUGAAGCAACAAAUGCCCUGCUUCCAGGAAAAGCCUCUAAGCAUCAGGUAACAUCAAAUCGUACCCCAAACCGACACAGGUGGUCAGGUAGAGAAUACCAAGGCGCUUGAGAGAACUCGGGUGAAGGAACUAGGCAAAAUGGUGCCGUAACUUCGGGAGAAGGCACGCUGAUAUGUAGGUGAAGUCCCUUGCGGAUGGAGCUGAAAUCAGUCGAAGAUACCAGCUGGCUGCAACUGUUUAUUAAAAACACAGCACUGUGCAAACACGAAAGU